CCUACGGGGGGCAGCAGUGGGGAAUAUUGCACAAUGGGGGAAACCCUGAUGCAGCAACGCCGCGUGAGCGAUGAAGGCCUUCGGGUCGUAAAGCUCUGUCCUAAGGGAAGAAAGAUGACGGUACCAGAGGAGGAAGCCACGGCUAACUACGUGCCAGCAGCCGCGGUAAUACGUAGGUGGCGAGCGUUGUCCGGAAUUACUGGGUGUAAAGGGUGCGUAGGCGGGUAUAUAAGUCAGAUGUGAAAUACCGGGGCUCAACUCCGGGGCUGCAUUUGAAACUAUAUAUCUUGAGUGCAGGAGAGGAAAGCGGAAUUCCUAGUGUAGCGGUGAAAUGCGUAGAGAUUAGGAGGAACACCAGUUGCGAAGGCGGCUCUCUGGACUGUAACUGACGCUGAGGCACGAAAGCGUGGGGAGCGAACAGGAUUAGAUACCCGUGUAGUC
RNAcentral lists this ribosomal RNA (441 nucleotides) under uncultured bacterium. RNAcentral describes it as "bacterial SSU rRNA". It matches the Rfam family "Bacterial small subunit ribosomal RNA", at positions 338 to 795 of the family's 1533-position model. The record is from RNAcentral.